GGGAGGCAAACACACACACAUGCCCGGUACACUCGAAGGAAAGAAGUUGAAAAUAUCUGAAAGCUAGACAUGGCUGGAGGUAGGCUUAUUUUUAUUUGUCCUCCUCAGAAUCAGUUUUUGUUGAAAAGGAAAAAAAAAAUCAUGAAGAAGGCAAGGAGAGGCAGAACUACUUUGAAUUUAAAGUAUUCUUUUUCUAAGAGAAGAAAGUAAGUUAAAACUUCACUUAUUAAGUCUACUCAGGAAGAAGAUCAAAGUUCAAGAAAGCAACCCCAGCGCAGUAGAACCAGCAUUUAGACGGGAAUCUAGAGAUGCAAGAUCUGCCCCAGCUCUGCCAUUAACUUGGGUACACUUCUCCUUGCUUCCCCUUCUGAACCUGUUUUCUCAUCAGUAAUGGAACAGGUCAAUCUCAUAAAUACCUUUUCAUUCACCCAAA
Molecule: long non-coding RNA, 433 nt
Organism: Hyaena hyaena (striped hyena)
Lineage: Eukaryota; Metazoa; Chordata; Mammalia; Carnivora; Hyaenidae
Exons: 2
Source: RefSeq, a predicted model, not a curated record